GUGCUCGCUUCAGCAGCACUAGGAACGAUACAGAGAAGAUUAGCAUGGCCCCUGCGAAAGUAUGACAUGCAAAUUUGUGAAGUUCCUCAUGAAAAA
Fukomys damarensis (Damara mole-rat) is the source of this 96-nucleotide small nuclear RNA. NCBI's taxonomy places the organism in Eukaryota, Metazoa, Chordata, Mammalia, Rodentia, Bathyergidae. The record is from Ensembl.